CUUGCUCUGUGGGAUCAGUGGGCGAACGGGUGAGUAACACGUGAGCAACCUGCCCCUGACUCUGGGAUAAGCGCUGGAAACGGCGUCUAAUACUGGAUAUGUGACGUGACCGCAUGGUCUGCGUUUGGAAAGAUUUUUCGGUUGGGGAUGGGCUCGCGGCCUAUCAGCUUGUUGGUGAGGUAAUGGCUCACCAAGGCGUCGACGGGUAGCCGGCCUGAGAGGGUGACCGGCCACACUGGGACUGAGACACGGCCCAGACUCCUACGGGAGGCAGCAGUGGGGAAUAUUGCACAAUGGGCGGAAGCCUGAUGCAGCAACGCCGCGUGAGGGAUGACGGCCUUCGGGUUGUAAACCUCUUUUAGCAGGGAAGAAGCGAAAGUGACGGUACCUGCAGAAAAAGCGCCGGCUAACUACGUGCCAGCAGCCGCGGUAAUACGUAGGGCGCAAGCGUUAUCCGGAAUUAUUGGGCGUAAAGAGCUCGUAGGCGGUUUGUCGCGUCUGCUGUGAAAUCCCGAGGCUCAACCUCGGGCCUGCAGUGGGUACGGGCAGACUAGAGUGCGGUAGGGGAGAUUGGAAUUCCUGGUGUAGCGGUGGAAUGCGCAGAUAUCAGGAGGAACACCGAUGGCGAAGGCAGAUCUCUGGGCCGUAACUGACGCUGAGGAGCGAAAGGGUGGGGAGCAAACAGGCUUAGAUACCCUGGUAGUCCACCCCGUAAACGUUGGGAACUAGUUGUGGGGUCCAUUCCACGGAUUCCGUGACGCAGCUAACGCAUUAAGUUCCCCGCCUGGGGAGUACGGCCGCAAGGCUAAAACUCAAAGGAAUUGACGGGGACCCGCACAAGCGGCGGAGCAUGCGGAUUAAUUCGAUGCAACGCGAAGAACCUUACCAAGGCUUGACAUAUACGAGAACGGGCCAGAAAUGGUCAACUCUUUGGACACUCGUAAACAGGUGGUGCAUGGUUGUCGUCAGCUCGUGUCGUGAGAUGUUGGGUUAAGUCCCGCAACGAGCGCAACCCUCGUUCUAUGUUGCCAGCACGUAAUGGUGGGAACUCAUGGGAUACUGCCGGGGUCAACUCGGAGGAAGGUGGGGAUGACGUCAAAUCAUCAUGCCCCUUAUGUCUUGGGCUUCACGCAUGCUACAAUGGCCGGUACAAAGGGCUGCAAUACCGUGAGGUGGAGCGAAUCCCAAAAAGCCGGUCCCAGUUCGGAUUGAGGUCUGCAACUCGACCUCAUGAAGUCGGAGUCGCUAGUAAUCGCAGAUCAGCAACGCUGCGGUGAAUACGUUCCCGGGUCUUGUACACACCGCCCGUCAAGUCAUGAAAGUCGGUAACACCUGAA
Molecule: ribosomal RNA, 1337 nt
Filed under: Microbacterium sp.
Lineage: Bacteria; Bacillati; Actinomycetota; Actinomycetes; Micrococcales; Microbacteriaceae
Description: bacterial SSU rRNA
Rfam family: Bacterial small subunit ribosomal RNA
Source: RNAcentral